This 446-nucleotide ribosomal RNA is filed under the name uncultured bacterium. Its description in RNAcentral is "partial 16S ribosomal RNA". It matches the Rfam family "Bacterial small subunit ribosomal RNA", at positions 338 to 795 of the family's 1533-position model. The record is from RNAcentral.
CCUACGGGAGGCUGCAGUCGAGAAUCAUUCACAAUGGGGGAAACCCUGAUGGUGCGACGCCGCGUGGGGGAAUGAAGUUCUUCGGAUUGUAAACCCCUGUCAUGUGGGAGCAAAUUCAAAAGAUAGUACCACAAGAGGAAGAGCCGGCUAACUCUGUGCCAGCAGCCGCGGUAAUACAGAGGUCUCAAGCGUUGUUCGGAAUCACUGGGCGUAAAGCGUGCGUAGGCUGUUUCGUAAGUCGUGUGUGAAAGGCGCGGGCUCAACCCGCGGACGGCACAUGAUACUGCGAGACUAGAGUAAUGGAGGGGGAACCGGAAGUCGCGGUGUAGCAGUGAAAUGCGUAGAUAUCGAGAGGAACACUCGUGGCGAAGGCGGGGUCCUGGACAUUAACUGACGCUGAGGCACGAAAGCGUGGGGAGCAAACAGGAUUAGAUACCCUUGUAGUC